GUGAGGGUCGGCCCGCUCAGAAUCUAGGGGAGAUCGGGAAGCUCUGGUGGUCCUAAGAUCCCCUUCCAUGUGGGAAGCAAGCACGAGGCAGCUGAGUGGAGCGGGCUCUCCGCCCGGAGUUUGCGGUCCAGGUGUCUUCUAUGAGCACAGAGACUGCUUGGCAGGUGGAGACGGGAGAAACGUGUCAGGAAUGUGUCGUCCAGGGAGGGGGCUCACGCUGCGGAUCCCUGGAUCCCUGGCUUGAAGGGGCAGGGAGGAGGCUACAAAUGAGUGACGAACAAGCCAAGAGACUUCCAAACCCAGUUGGCAAGCAAGUGCUUUCAUGGGGAAAGGGAGACCCAGUGGAGUUUCUCAACCUUCACUGGCUGCAAGCCCCAAAGUCUGGCCCCUGCGUUCCACCAGGGCUGGACUGUCCUGGUGACCUUGAGCCAGGAGGACUCCUCCCUGGGCCUGAGCUUCCUCCUCUGCCAAUGACGGUUAAGGCUGACGAUCCCAGCGGCCUCAAGUUUCAUAGUCAGCCUUCUCUGACUCAGUCUUUCCCUCCCCUGUCCUCUUGCCCAGCAGCCCUGAACACAUGAUCCUAAUUUUAAGGGAGGAAAGAGAAGGAAAAAAGAGGAUCCAUCAGAGGAGGCAGGGAAGAGAUUGUUUCAUCCACUCAACGACAGUCUGUGGACAUCAAGCUGUGUCAGACACUGGGCGAGGUGCAGGAAUCCAAAGGUUUCACUUCUGCAUCAUCAGAAGUGAAAUCAUCAACAUGGGUCACCUGUUCCUGAGUGUCAGCAGGAGAGUUAUGCAUGGAACAUCCAUCUUCCCAUCCCCAGGAAUUCCCAAUUCUCUCCAACAAGUGCAUGCAAACACCAGGGUUCCAGGGCACUUGGAGGUCAGAAGAGCCAGGAUGCCCAAAGCCCCUCCCUCGGGGCCCCCAGAAGCACAUGAAGCCAUGAACACGCAUCACCUGUACCACACCCCCCCCCAACCCAACCCAAGAGAAGGAAACAGCCUCUGUUCAGACCACAGGCUUAGGCAGAGGACAUGCCCCGCCAGACUCCCAGCUGUGCUUCUGAAACCUGCAGCUUUUCCAGAGAACCAUCCAGCCACUGUAUCAGCAGAGGGAGCUCUAGGUAGCAAAUAACUGUCCUCUGACAGCAGACAGUACUUUCCUGUAGAAAAGAUUUGUAGGAAACAAGGAAAAGCAGGGGUCCUAAGUGGAGCUGGCGUCCAUCCUGUGCAGAAGAAAACGCCACCAAUUUGCAAGGGUAGCUUGGGGGGUGGGGGUCAGGGCUGGGUGGUGAUCCAGGAGAGGAAGAGACACCAGCUGAGGAAAAGAUGCGUGAAAAUCACCACACUGC
Lagenorhynchus albirostris (white-beaked dolphin) is the source of this 1349-nucleotide RNA transcript. RefSeq lists it as uncharacterized. The transcript has 5 exons. Lineage: Eukaryota; Metazoa; Chordata; Mammalia; Artiodactyla; Delphinidae. The record is from RefSeq and is a predicted model, not a curated record.